GUCCCAUCAUUCUCAGGACAAGGUUGGUUUGAAAUCAAAUCCUGGUCUCUCCAUGCUGGAAGCAGUGACCUGAAUCAGCUGUGAACUGGCCAGUCCGAAGAUGACCUCGAGGGACCGCCCCCAGCUCCCACUGAUGAUGCCAUGGCUCCAAAGCCACCUACAUGAGCAGGACAGUCACUGGAGGAACAGAUGUGCACACAGUACAGAGAACCCUGCCAAGCCAACACCCAACCAGGGGCCUUCACUCCUGCCAUUGCUGAUGCUUAACAUCCACACUGGCCUUCAAUUCCUGGGGGAUCGAACUCGGGACCUUGCGCUUGUGAGGCCGGCGCCAGAACCACUGAGCUAAAUCCCCGGGCCAUACAGAUAAUAUCAACAAUAAAUGUGCUAGACUUUUUUUUUUUUUUUUAACCAAUGUCCACCAUCUUAACCAGCAUCCCCUUCCUGUACUCCCUUUCCUAAUGGGAGCCAGAGUUCUGGCAAAAAUAGAUACAGGGGUUACACACUCUCAACAUCAACACACUUCUGUUACUCCUUAUCCCAAGAGCUAAAUGAAGACUCUCUGGUCACCCUGCAGUCCCAAAUCAAUUCCCUGGCAGAUACUCCAAACUAGAAGAGCUCUAGAUAUAAUACCAGCAGAGAGAGGGGGAACAUGCCUCCUCCUGGGGGAAGAGUCCUGUUAUUUUGUCAAUCAGUUUGGCAUUGUUGGAGACAAGGUGAAGGAGCUCAGGAGUUUAUAGAGAAACGUAGAUGAGACCUAGACCAGCUACACUCUCUACCAGGAUACUUCAACCAGUGGCUUCCCUGGCUUCUUCCUUUCCUGGGAUCCCUCACUGUCCUCUUCAUAAUCCUACAUUUUGGACCCUGCCUGUUUCAUUGUUUUCAAAUUUUCUUGCAGGAAAGGUUGCGGGCCUUUACCAGUCAGACAGUCGGUAAACUCAUUAUGGCUGGUUAUCAACCUCUUGCCAUGGGAGACCACAUCACCAUCACGUAGGACCCAGACCUGGUACCCUUUAUCACCACCCCUGUGCCAGCAGGAAGCAGCUACAGAAAAGAGACCUCUGCCCCUAUUCCAUAAUAAUAUAAUAUGGCUCAGUGUGAAGGCCUUGGAUUCAAUCCCCCAGUACCAAAAAAAAAAAAAAAAAAAAAGCCAAUUAACUGCCACCAUGCCCCCCCCAUUCUAUUCUAAACUACAGGCAAGGUGGUCCACACCUGUGAUCCCAGCAAUCAGGAGGCUGAGGCAGGAGGAUUGCCACAAGUUUGAGGCCAGCCUGGGCUGCAUGGAUGUGGUUGGUGCAUGCCUAUAAUCCCAGCACUCAGGAGGCUGAGGCAGGAAGAUCACUGAGAGUUCAAGGCCAGCCUGAACUUACGAAUGAGACCCUGUCUCCAAAUGAAUCUUUUUUUUUUUUUUUUUGGUACCGGGGAUCGAGCUCAGGUCCUUGUGCUUUCUUUUCUUGUUUUUGGGGGGUUUUUU
RNAcentral lists this long non-coding RNA (1474 nucleotides) under Heterocephalus glaber (naked mole-rat). Its description in RNAcentral is "lncRNA (ENSHGLG00100051375.1)". Lineage: Eukaryota; Metazoa; Chordata; Mammalia; Rodentia; Bathyergidae. The record is from RNAcentral.